RNAcentral lists this small nuclear RNA (147 nucleotides) under Sphenodon punctatus (tuatara). RNAcentral's name for it is "U2 spliceosomal RNA (ENSSPUG00000011204.1)". It matches the Rfam family "U2 spliceosomal RNA", at positions 38 to 185 of the family's 192-position model. From Rfam's summary of the family: U2 is a small nuclear RNA (snRNA) component of the spliceosome (involved in pre-mRNA splicing). The record is from RNAcentral. Lineage: Eukaryota; Metazoa; Chordata; Lepidosauria; Sphenodontia; Sphenodontidae.
AUCUGUUCUCAUCGGUUUAAUAUCUGAUAUGUACCCUAUUUAAGGACUACAUAUUAAAUGGAUUUUUGGAACAGGGAGAUGGAAUAGGAGCUUGCUCUACCCACUCCAUGCAUCGACUUGGUAUUGCAUGAUCUCCAGAGAUGGUGC